Molecule: long non-coding RNA, 485 nt
Organism: Meriones unguiculatus (Mongolian gerbil)
Lineage: Eukaryota; Metazoa; Chordata; Mammalia; Rodentia; Muridae
Exons: 3
Source: RefSeq, a predicted model, not a curated record
GCACUCGUGAGAAGAGCUAAGAGGACGGCAGCUUGAGCGUCUGUGACUGGAGGGGGUCGAGGGUGGGGCGGGGGAAGACAAGCCAAAAAGAAGCAGGCAGCAGCCACUGGACAAGAUGCCUCCUUAUGCUUAUUCUUAAGAGAGAAUGAAUCUCAUGGAGGCAUUUCUUCAACUGAGGCUCCUUCCUCUCUGAUGACGCUAGCUUGUGUCAAGUUGACACACAAAUCCAGCCAGGACAUCCAUCUUAAAGGAAACAUGGAAGAAAUUUGACACUGCCCUCCACCCUUCUACACACAUACCCACGAUUUCACUGUGUAGCCCUGGCCAUCCUGGAACUCACUCUGUAGACCAAGCUGGGCUCCAACUUAGAAAUCUGCCUGCCUCUGCCUCCUGAGUCCUGGGGUUUUAAGGCGAGUCCAUCACUGCCCAGCUUUGAAACUGUCCUACUUGUACAUGUAUGUUUCAUCUAGUUGAAAAAAAAAAAA